Molecule: ribosomal RNA, 471 nt
Filed under: Carychium cf. costaricanum AMW-2013
Lineage: Eukaryota; Metazoa; Mollusca; Gastropoda; Ellobiida; Ellobiidae
Description: partial 16S ribosomal RNA
Rfam family: Bacterial large subunit ribosomal RNA
Source: RNAcentral
CGCCUGUUUAUCAAAAACAUAGCCUUAAGAAAUGAUUUAAGGUAAGCCCUGCCCAGUGGAUAUGUUCUUAACGGCCGCAGUACCUUGACUGUGCUAAGGUAGCGUAAUCAAUUGGCUUUUAAAUGGAGUCCAGAAUGAACGGGGCCAUGGAGAGAGACUGUCUCCUUUUUGAUUAAUUAAACUUGCUUAAUAGGUGAAAAUACCUUUUUAAAGAAAAAAGACGAGAAGACCCUUAGAGCCUAACAAUAUAAUAUAUUUUAUUUGUUUUUGUUGGGGCGACAAGAAGACACACUUAAACUCUUCUCUUAUACUAAACGAUUAUAAUAUAAAAGAACAGGCUACCUUAGGGAUAACAGCAUAAUUAUUUUUAGUUUGUGACCUCGAUGUUGGACUAGGAACUUGAUGACUAGUCGUCAAUAAAGGAAAGUUCUGUUCGAACUACUUUUCCUACGUGAUCUGAGUUCAGACCGG